Molecule: ribosomal RNA, 464 nt
Filed under: uncultured bacterium
Lineage: Bacteria
Description: partial 16S ribosomal RNA
Rfam family: Bacterial small subunit ribosomal RNA
Source: RNAcentral
CUACGGGGCGCUGCAGUAGGGAAUAUUGCGCAAUGGACGAAAGUCUGACGCAGCCACGCCGCGUGGAUGAUGAAGCUUUUUGGAGUGUAAAAUCCUGUCAGUGGGGACGAACCGGCUGAGGAGUAACUGCCUCAGCUCUGACGGUACCCGCAGAGGAAGUUCCGGCUAACUCCGUGCCAGCAGCCGCGGUAAUACGGGGGGAACGAGCGUUGUUCGGAUUUACUGGGCGUAAAGGGCGUGUAGGCGGAUCUGCCAGUCAGAUGUGAAACCCGGCGGCUUAACCACCGGCCUGCAUCUGAUACUGCAGAUCUUGAGUACGGGAGAGGAAAGCGGAAUUCCAGGUGUAGCGGUGACAUGCGUAGAUAUCUGGAAGAACACCGGUGGCGAAGGCGGCUUUCUGGACCGAUACUGACGCUGAGGCGCGAAAGCCAGGGGAGCAAACAGGAUUAGAUACCCUUGUAGUC